UACAACUUUCAGCAAUGGAUGUCUAGGUUCCCACAACGAUGAAGAACGCAGCGAAAUGCGAUACGUAAUGCGAAUUGCAAGACCUCGUGAAUCAUUAAGAUUUUGAACGCACAUUGCGCU
This 120-nucleotide ribosomal RNA is filed under the name Phaeodactylum tricornutum. RNAcentral's name for it is "partial 5.8S ribosomal RNA". It matches the Rfam family "5.8S ribosomal RNA", at positions 1 to 117 of the family's 154-position model. Rfam says of the family: 5.8S ribosomal RNA (5.8S rRNA) is a component of the large subunit of the eukaryotic ribosome. It is transcribed by RNA polymerase I as part of the 45S precursor that also contains 18S and 28S rRNA. The record is from RNAcentral. Lineage: Eukaryota; Bacillariophyta; Bacillariophyceae; Surirellales; Neidiaceae.